RNAcentral lists this transfer-messenger RNA (158 nucleotides) under Bifidobacteriaceae bacterium. RNAcentral describes it as "partial transfer-messenger RNA". It matches the Rfam family "transfer-messenger RNA", at positions 1 to 163 of the family's 374-position model. From Rfam's summary of the family: Bacterial tmRNA, also known as 10Sa RNA or SsrA, is named for its dual tRNA and mRNA-like properties. Its role is to liberate the mRNA from a stalled ribosome. To accomplish this part of the tmRNA is used as a reading frame that ends in a translation stop signal. The record is from RNAcentral. Lineage: Bacteria; Bacillati; Actinomycetota; Actinomycetes; Bifidobacteriales; Bifidobacteriaceae.
GGGGGCGAUCGGUUUCGACGGUGAACGUCGAACCAGGUGAAGCGGGUCGAGGACGCGAGGCCAUCUCGUUAACGCUCGUCGCAAACCACUAGGUGCCAAAUCCAACCGCACCGACUUCGCUCUAGCCGCCUAGGGGGCUAGGAGCGAGUCCGUCAGCC